UGAAGCAGUAGGGAAAGCGUAUGUUGUAUGGAUGCAAAGUGUAUGUAAGCUGUAUGUAUCACACUUUAGCUGAGGAAGCAGUAGCUAAAGUGUGUUGUAUGUAUGUAAUGUGCAUUUUGUAUACAUGUAAAUUGUGUGUGGCGUUUUGGGGCGACGACUGUGUAUGUAAGUUGUAUGUGUGGCUGUUUGGUGAUGGAUUCAAUACCAGGGCCUAUCUAUAUUUGCUUCAAAUAUUGUUGUUACAAUAACAGUAUCCUUCCUUGCAAAAAUCUCAAGAAUGACGCUUUACCUUGCAAUCUUCACAACCACAGCUACUCCAAUCUUGAAUUUUCAUCCAAUCCAACCCAAACCCAAACUCUCUCUACAGCUUCAGUUCUCAAAAACCAUUUCAAUAAAGCAGUUGUCAGUUCCUCUCAGCGCAACACAGCCUCACAGAUACACCUAUCCCGACCCAAUCCCUGAAUUUGCUGUUGCUGUAAUGUAGCUCAUUCACGUAUCACUCUUUUUUAUAACUAAAUUUAACCUUUUUAUUACUAGUAUAGUAGUAAUAAAUACUCACUGCACUUAGACCCUCUCCGGACUCCCACUUUGUGUGGUUACAUUGGAUAUGUGGUUUUUGUUGUGUGUUAGAAUGGCAUGUGCCAAAAUAGAGUAACUAGCUUUAAAUUGAGUAGUUUUUUCCUUUUCUUUUGGUUAAAAUUGAUUCAUUGAUAGAAUUGCGAACCUUGUUUGCCUUUAAAUGAUAAGUGCUUUAUCAGUAUUGGAAUGCAUCAACUAUUCAUGUCGUCUGACAUAAUUAGUUUAUUUAUCUAAUAUUUGAUUUAUUUAUUUGCGGAAUGUAGGAAACUCAGAAGUUCAGGGCCGAACUCUUGAAGAAACUUUCCAAGGAAAAGGAGAUUCUUGGAGAUGAACUUGAUGAUGUUGUUAGUGUUUGUGCCGAGGAUAGAAUUUAAAGUAGAUGAUGGAAGGGUGUUAAUCUCCUUUGGGUUCAAAGAUGAGGACAAAAGCCAAGAACUAAGGGUGGUGGAGAGGAGAGUUGAAAACACUAGCAAGUAAGCUACCACCAGAUGCUAUCUCAUUUUCAUCAAAGUUGUCAAAGAUUGAACAAAGUGAAAAUGCUAGCAAUACCUUAUUGAAACUUGAAGACGGAACAUGUUUAUCUGUUAAGAUAGUGAUCACUUGUGAUGGUGUCUGGUCACCAAUGGCUACAUGGAUAGGAUUUCGACAGCCUAAGUAAGUAGGGCAUAUCGCCUUUCGAGGCCUGGGAUAUUUUUUUGAAGGACAGCCAUAUGAACCAAAAGUACACUACACUUACUGAAGAGGAUUACGUGCUGGAUUUGUUCCUGCUUCUAAAACCAAGGUCUAUUGGUUUGCCCUGUGCAACAACUCAUCUCCAAGUAUAUGCUUUAUUAAUGCUAUCAGGUCUCGUUCUUCAUUUCGGCACUAAUGUUAAGGUCCAAGAAUCACAGAUCCAUCAAUAUUGAGACAAACAAGCCAUUCCGUCAAACUACUCAAAGCAUUUCAUAGCAUUUCCGACAAAUAAGCCAUUCCGUCAAACUACUCAAAGCAUUUCUGACAAACAAGCUAUUCCGUCAAACUACUCAAAGCAUUUCCAUCAAACAAGUCAUUCCGUCAAACUACCCAAAUUUCAAUUUUUGAGCAAACAAGAUUUUCUCAAAGUCUUGUCCCACAAAUGUAUAGAUUUGAAGUGUAACACAAAUAUCAAUCUAAUUUAUGUUUUGUCCAUUAU
This is a long non-coding RNA of Capsicum annuum, 1750 nucleotides long. RefSeq lists it as uncharacterized. The record is from RefSeq and is a predicted model, not a curated record. Lineage: Eukaryota; Viridiplantae; Streptophyta; Magnoliopsida; Solanales; Solanaceae. The transcript is spliced from 5 exons.